AUAAUGUCCCAGGUUUUAAAAUUUGCCAAAAAAGUUUGAUUUUGGCUUGUUAUAUUUAUUUUUUGUUAAGUUGUACAUGUAAAUAUUUUUAUGAUUUUAAAAUCUAAAUGAUUUAAUAUUUAUUAAUUGCAGUUUUUAAUUUUAUUAUUUAAAGAGAUUUAGAGAUAGUUAAUUAACUUAAUUCUGACAAAGGUUGUGCCAGCAGUCGCGGUUAUACAAUCGGAGUAAAUAAAUAUGUUUAGUUAUAAUUUAAAUUUGAUAAUUUAUAAGUAAAAGUUAAUUUUUAGGUGAAAUUAGGAAUUAAUUUAAUUUAUUUUAAUUUGAGUUAAAUUGGAAAAUUCAUUUAUUAAACUAGGAUUAGAUACCCUAUUAUUUUGAAUUGUUAUUUGUAAUACUUUAUUAUUAAUAGUUAUGUUCUUUAAAUUAAAAGAAUUUGGCGGUAAUUUAGUCUUUUUAGAGGAACCUGUCCUGUAAUCGAUAAUCCACGAUGAAUUUUACUUUAUUUAUUGUUUAUAUACCUCUGUCAUGAAUGUUCUAUUAGGAAUUUUCGUUAAUUUUUAUUGAGAAAAAUGUCAGGUCAAGGUGUAAUUAUAAUAAAGAAGAGAUGGGUUACAUUAAUUAUAUUUUUGGAUUUAAUUAUGUAAAUUUUAAUGAAAUUGGAUUUAGAAGUAAUAGUUAUUAGAAAAUAACUUUGAUAUUUGCUCUGAAUUAUGCACAUAUCGCCCGUCACUCUCGUUGAAUUUAAUAAGAUGAGAUAAGUCGUAACAAAGUAGGCCUACCGGAAGGUGGGUCUGGUUAGU
Molecule: non-coding RNA, 800 nt
Filed under: Macracanthopsis nodipes
Lineage: Eukaryota; Metazoa; Arthropoda; Insecta; Hemiptera; Reduviidae
Source: RNAcentral